UACAGAGGGGGCAAGCGUUGUUCGGAAUUACUGGGCGUAAAGGGCGCGUAGGCGGCCGCCUAAGUCAGACGUGAAAUCCCUCGGCUCAACCGGGGAACUGCGUCCGAUACUGGAUGGCUUGAAUUCGGGAGAGGGAUGCAGAAUUCCAGGUGUAGCGGUGAAAUGCGUAGAUAUCUGGAGGAAUACCGGUGGCGAAGGCGGCAUCCUGGACCGAUAUUGACGCUGAGGAGCGAAAGCUAGGGGAGCAAACGGG
This 253-nucleotide ribosomal RNA is filed under the name uncultured bacterium. RNAcentral's name for it is "partial 16S ribosomal RNA". It matches the Rfam family "Bacterial small subunit ribosomal RNA", at positions 524 to 776 of the family's 1533-position model. The record is from RNAcentral.